Molecule: ribosomal RNA, 532 nt
Filed under: Colletotrichum higginsianum
Lineage: Eukaryota; Fungi; Ascomycota; Sordariomycetes; Glomerellales; Glomerellaceae
Description: eukaryotic LSU rRNA
Rfam family: Eukaryotic large subunit ribosomal RNA
Source: RNAcentral
AACAGCUCAAAUUUGAAAUCUGGCCCCAGGCCCGAGUUGUAAUUUGCAGAGGAUGCUUUUGGCGCGGUGCCUUCCGAGUUCCCUGGAACGGGACGCCAUAGAGGGUGAGAGCCCCGUACGGUUGGACACCAAGCCUUUGUAAAGCUCCUUCGACGAGUCGAGUAGUUUGGGAAUGCUGCUCAAAAUGGGAGGUAUAUUUCUUCUAAAGCUAAAUAUAGGCCAGAGACCGAUAGCGCACAAGUAGAGUGAUCGAAAGAUGAAAAGCACUUUGAAAAGAGGGUUAAACAGCACGUGAAAUUGUUAAAAGGGAAGCGCUUGUGACCAGACUUGCGUCCGGUGAAUCACCCAGCUCUCGCGGCUGGGGCACUUCGCCGGCACAGGCCAGCAUCAGCUUGCCGUCGGGGACAAAAGCUUCAGGAACGUAGCUCUCUUCGGGGAGUGUUAUAGCCUGUUGCAUAAUACCCUUCGGCGGGCUGAGGUACGCGCUCCGCAAGGAUGCUGGCGUAAUGGUCAUCAGCGACCCGUCUUGAAC